UUUGAUUAAAAAAUAAAAUAUUUUGUUUUUGUGAAUUAUAUUUCAAACAAAUAAUUAAUGUUUUUUUUUUAAAAUACAAAAUUGCACAUUUACAUAAAACAAAACAAGAUACCCUUAGGAUCACAGAAGUAGAAAUGGAAACCUUAAAUUUUCGUUUGAAUGCCACAUGUAAGUUUUUCAACUCAACAGUAGUUUCAUGCUCCAAUAAUAACAUUUAGCAUUUGUGUUCUAAACAUAUCACACACAUACAUUUUUAACAAACUUGACAAAAUUGUGGCCUUAAAAAGAAACAAUAUGUAGGAUGAACAAUGGCAUGCCAAAAAAAAAAAAGAGUUCACCUUUAAUACAGGGAAUUACAAAUCAGUUGUAACAAAAUAUUCCCAUAACAAAAUGUUUUGCUUUCAUUCAUGGAUAAUAAUUUUCCAUUCACAGAUAAAUAUAAUAAAAUAUGUAACAGCUCUUUGCAGAACGUAAUUGAAAAGAUAUAUGCAUGCCAUUCAAUAAUUUAUCUUAAAUUCACAGCAAUUACAGAUGCUGUUUUGCCAUUUACACUUUUAUUGUCAAGCAAACGAAUGCAUACACAAAUUUCAAUUAAAAAGCUAAGCGUCUCAAAAGAUAAUAAAUAAAUGACUAAAAGGAAUUCAAAGUAUAACAAUAUGGAAUGUAAGUAAUUUAGACUUUGUUUUGUUCAAUUUCCAAUUGUGGUAAAAAAAAAAAAAAAGACAUUUCUGGAAAAA
Molecule: non-coding RNA, 737 nt
Organism: Biomphalaria pfeifferi
Lineage: Eukaryota; Metazoa; Mollusca; Gastropoda; Planorbidae
Source: the annotation of a GenBank genome assembly